Acanthopagrus latus (yellowfin seabream) is the source of this 419-nucleotide long non-coding RNA. RefSeq lists it as uncharacterized. Lineage: Eukaryota; Metazoa; Chordata; Actinopteri; Spariformes; Sparidae. The record is from RefSeq and is a predicted model, not a curated record. The transcript has 3 exons.
GAGAGGGCAGCGGCAGAGGUUGCCGUGGCGUCGCCUUCAAUGACCAGGAGAAUGCUGGCACUGUCGACGGGAGCAACAGUGUACUGUUUCACCGAGGCUGGGACCUGCAGGAAGGACGGAUAAAACCGAAAUACAUGUUCAUCAUCCUGGUGAAGCACUUCUUCAGCGCCUGGCCUGUUUGAACUGCGUCUCCCAUGCUGCAUCGCAGCUCAUCCGCGGUCUCAUUUCCCACCAGAGCACGGAACUCUGGGACAGCUGAUGGAUGCACACACAUGCACAAGAAUCAAUCUAAACUCAACUAAUGACCCUGUGGGACUCACAUUUGAGGAAUCCCAAGAUCUCCUCCACUGGUCUGAAACCACAGAGGCCCUGGAAGCGGGUGAGAGCGAUGGCCAUCUCCGGCUUGUGGUUGUUGUCUG